GGCGCUGUGGCGGAAUGGCUACGCAACGCAUUGCAAAUGCGUACCAUACCAGUUCGAUUCUGGUCGGCGCCUCCA
Molecule: transfer RNA, 75 nt
Filed under: Pseudomonadota bacterium
Lineage: Bacteria; Pseudomonadati; Pseudomonadota
Description: Proteobacteria bacterium tRNA-Cys
Rfam family: tRNA
About the family: Transfer RNA (tRNA) molecules are approximately 80 nucleotides in length. Their secondary structure includes four short double-helical elements and three loops (D, anti-codon, and T loops).
Source: RNAcentral